This 722-nucleotide ribosomal RNA is filed under the name Boana raniceps (Chaco treefrog). Its description in RNAcentral is "partial 16S ribosomal RNA". It matches the Rfam family "Bacterial large subunit ribosomal RNA", at positions 1926 to 2925 of the family's 2925-position model. Lineage: Eukaryota; Metazoa; Chordata; Amphibia; Anura; Hylidae. The record is from RNAcentral.
AACGGCCGCGGUAUCCUAACCGUGCGAAGGUAGCGUAAUCACUUGUUCUUUAAAUGAGGACUAGUAUGAAUGGCACCACGAGGGUUAAACUGUCUCCUUUUUUUAAUCAGUGAAACUAAUCUCCCCGUGAAGAAGCGGGGAUUCUUUUAUAAGACGAGAAGACCCUAUGGAGCUUUAAACAAGUUAACACCUGCUACUAAUCNNCUCACUUUCCUGAACCACCACAUUAAGUAUAGCACCUCUGAUUAACAGUUUUCGAUUGGGGUGAUCAUGGAGCAAAAAUCAACCUCCACGACGAAAAGGAACACCUCCUUGAGCCAAAAGCUACAACUUUAAGCACUAAAAAACUAACGCACUUUGACCCAAUUCUUUGAGCAACGAACCAAGUUACCCUAGGGAUAACAGCGCAAUCCACUUUAAGAGCCCCUAUCGACAAGUGGGUUUACGACCUCGAUGUUGGAUCAGGGUAUCCCAGUGGUGCAGCCGCUACUAAAGGUUCGUUUGUUCAACGAUUAAAACCCUACGUGAUCUGAGUUCAGACCGGAGUAAUCCAGGUCAGUUUCUAUCUAUAAAGGGCUUUUUCUAGUACGAAAGGACCGAAAAAGCAUGGCCUAUAACCCAUCAAGCCAUAUAAAUUACUAUUGUUCCCAACUUAAAUAGAAGUAAACCUACCACUUAUCUCGAUAAAAGAGAAGUUAACGUAGCAUAACCUGGCCUUGCAG